GACGAACGCUGGCGGCGUGCCUAAUACAUGCAAGUAGAACGCUGAAGAGAGGAGCUUGCUCUUCUUGGAUGAGUUGCGAACGGGUGAGUAACGCGUAGGUAACCUGCCUUGUAGCGGGGGAUAACUAUUGGAAACGAUAGCUAAUACCGCAUAACAAUGGAUGACACAUGUCAUUUAUUUGAAAGGGGCAAUUGCUCCACUACAAGAUGGACCUGCGUUGUAUUAGCUAGUAGGUGAGGUAAUGGCUCACCUAGGCGACGAUACAUAGCCGACCUGAGAGGGUGAUCGGCCACACUGGGGCUGAGACACGGCCCAGACUCCUACGGGAGGCAGCAGUAGGGAAGCUUCGGCAAUGGGGGCAACCCUGACCGAGCAACGCCGCGUGAGUGAAGAAGGUUUUCGGAUCGUAAAGCUCUGUUGUAAGUCAAGAACGGGUGUGAGAGUGGAAAGUUCACACUGUGACGGUAGCUUACCAGAAAGGGACGGCUAACUACGUG
Molecule: ribosomal RNA, 497 nt
Filed under: uncultured bacterium
Lineage: Bacteria
Description: partial 16S ribosomal RNA
Rfam family: Bacterial small subunit ribosomal RNA
Source: RNAcentral